GGGUGAGUAUACCUAGGAAUCUGCCUGAUAGUGGGGGAUAACGUUCGGAAACGGACGCUAAUACCGCAUACGUCCUACGGGAGAAAGCAGGGGACCUUCGGGCCUUGCGCUAUCAGAUGAGCCUAGGUCGGAUUAGCUAGUUGGUGAGGUAAUGGCUCACCAAGGCUACGAUCCGUAACUGGUCUGAGAGGAUGAUCAGUCACACUGGAACUGAGACACGGUCCAGACUCCUACGGGAGGCAGCAGUGGGGAAUAUUGGACAAUGGGCGAAAGCCUGAUCCAGCCAUGCCGCGUGUGUGAAGAAGGUCUUCGGAUUGUAAAGCACUUUAAGUUGGGAGGAAGGGCAGUUACCUAAUACGUGAUUGUCUUGACGUUACCGACAGAAUAAGCACCGGCUAACUCUGUGCCAGCAGACCGCGGUAAUACAGAGGGUGCAAGCGUUAAUCGGAAUUACUGGGCGUAAAGCGCGCGUAGGUGGUUUGUUAAGUU
RNAcentral lists this ribosomal RNA (489 nucleotides) under Pseudomonas sp. R-35709. Its description in RNAcentral is "bacterial SSU rRNA". It matches the Rfam family "Bacterial small subunit ribosomal RNA", at positions 104 to 589 of the family's 1533-position model. Lineage: Bacteria; Pseudomonadati; Pseudomonadota; Gammaproteobacteria; Pseudomonadales; Pseudomonadaceae. The record is from RNAcentral.